Perognathus longimembris pacificus (Pacific pocket mouse) is the source of this 118-nucleotide small nucleolar RNA. RefSeq annotates it as small nucleolar RNA SNORA41. The transcript has a single exon. The record is from RefSeq and is a predicted model, not a curated record. NCBI's taxonomy places the organism in Eukaryota, Metazoa, Chordata, Mammalia, Rodentia, Heteromyidae.
UUCCACAGGUACUGGCCUGCAGUUGUUCUUAAUGGUAAAAGUUGUGGCAUUCCUUUGUGGGAAAGAAACUGUUACACAGUUAAACACAGGAAGAGGGCAUACAGUGUGACAGACACAA